AAUAGAUACCCUGGUAGUCCAUGCCGUAAACGUUGGGCACUAGGUGUGGGGGACAUUCCACGUUUUCCGCGCCGUAGCUAACGCAUUAAGUGCCCCGCCUGGGGAGUACGGCCGCAAGGCUAAAACUCAAAGGAAUUGACGGGGGCCCGCACAAGCGGCGGAGCAUGCGGAUUAAUUCGAUGCAACGCGAAGAACCUUACCAAGGCUUGACAUGUUCCAGACCGCCUCAGAGAUGGGGUUUCCCUUUGGGGCUGGUUCACAGGUGGUGCAUGGUUGUCGUCAGCUCGUGUCGUGAGAUGUUGGGUUAAGUCCCGCAACGAGCGCAACCCUCGUUCCAUGUUGCCAGCACGUAGUGGUGGGGACUCAUGGGAGACUGCCGGGGUCAACUCGGAGGAAGGUGGGGAUGACGUCAAAUCAUCAUGCCCCUUAUGUCUUGGGCUUCACGCAUGCUACAAUGGCCGGUACAAUGGGUUGCGAUACUGUGAGGUGGAGCUAAUCCCUAAAAGCCGGUCUCAGUUCGGAUUGGGGUCUGCAACUCCG
RNAcentral lists this ribosomal RNA (540 nucleotides) under uncultured bacterium. RNAcentral's name for it is "bacterial SSU rRNA". It matches the Rfam family "Bacterial small subunit ribosomal RNA", at positions 777 to 1314 of the family's 1533-position model. The record is from RNAcentral.